RNAcentral lists this ribosomal RNA (375 nucleotides) under uncultured organism. RNAcentral's name for it is "partial 16S ribosomal RNA". It matches the Rfam family "Bacterial small subunit ribosomal RNA", at positions 527 to 896 of the family's 1533-position model. The record is from RNAcentral.
GUAGGUGGCAAGCGUUGUCCGGAAUUUUUGGGCGUAAAGCGCGCGCAGGCGGUUCUUUAAGUCUGAUGUGAAAGCCCACGGCUCAACCGUGGAGGGUCAUUGGAAACUGGAGAACUUGAGUACAGAAGAGGAAAGCGGAAUUCCACGGUGUAGCGGUGAAAUGCGUAGAGAUGUGGAGGAACACCAGUGGCGAAGGCGGCUUUUCUGGUCUGUAACUCGACGCUGAGGCGCGAAAGCGUGGGGAGCAAACAGGGAUUAGAUACCCUGGUAGUCCACGCCGUAAACGAUGAGUGCUAAAGUGUUAGGGGGUUUCCCGCCCCUUAGUGCUGCAGCUUAACGCAUUAAGCACUCGCUGGGGAGUACGCCGCAAGGCUG